This is a long non-coding RNA of Centruroides sculpturatus (bark scorpion), 212 nucleotides long. RefSeq lists it as uncharacterized. Lineage: Eukaryota; Metazoa; Arthropoda; Arachnida; Scorpiones; Buthidae. The transcript has 3 exons. The record is from RefSeq and is a predicted model, not a curated record.
AUUACAAGACAUGUAUUACAAUAUAAUUAGGUUAACGAAUAAAUAUAUCAAGUGCUAUCAGCUGGUUCUUCCUUUGAAAGUGAACAACAGCUCACCACGUGGAAUUUCUUGCUUUCUUCGUAUGUCAAACACCUAAAAGCCAGUUUCCUGUCGAAUGUACUCCAGGAAGGCAUUUUUCAAAACAGAACCCGUUUACGAAGUUCUCGCUUGAG